AACGAACGCUGGCGGCGCGCCUAAAACAUGCAAGUCGAACGAGAAAGCUCUUCGGAGUGAGUAGAGUGGCGCACGGGUGAGUAACACGUGGAUAACCUACCUCUUAGACGGGGAUAACAUUCCGAAAGGAAUGCUAAUACCGGAUGAUGUGAGAAAUUCAGUGGAGAAUUUUUCAUUAAAUCAUGGUCCUGCUAUGGCUAGGAGAGGGGUCUGCGUCCCAUUAGCUUGUUGGUGAGGUAACGGCUCAUCCAAGGCUUUGAUGGGUAGCUGAUUUGAGAGAAUGAUCAGUCACACUGGAACUGAAACACGGUCCAG
Molecule: ribosomal RNA, 315 nt
Filed under: uncultured bacterium
Lineage: Bacteria
Description: bacterial SSU rRNA
Rfam family: Bacterial small subunit ribosomal RNA
Source: RNAcentral